CUUCGGUGGGGAUUAGUGGCGAACGGGUGAGUAACACGUGGGCAAUCUGCCCUGCACUCUGGGACAAGCCCUGGAAACGGGGUCUAAUACCGGAUACUGAUCCGCCUGGGCAUCCAGGCGGUUCGAAAGCUCCGGCGGUGCAGGAUGAGCCCGCGGCCUAUCAGCUUGUUGGUGAGGUAACGGCUCACCAAGGCGACGACGGGUAGCCGGCCUGAGAGGGCGACCGGCCACACUGGGACUGAGACACGGCCCAGACUCCUACGGGAGGCAGCAGUGGGGAAUAUUGCACAAUGGGCGCAAGCCUGAUGCAGCGACGCCGCGUGAGGGAUGACGGCCUUCGGGUUGUAAACCUCUUUCAGCAGGGAAGAAGCGCAAGUGACGGUACCUGCAGAAGAAGCGCCGGCUAACUACGUGCCAGCAGCCGCGGUAAUACGUAGGGCGCGAGCGUUGUCCGGAAUUAUUGGGCGUAAAGAGCUCGUAGGCGGCUUGUCGCGUCGGUUGUGAAAGCCCGGG
RNAcentral lists this ribosomal RNA (513 nucleotides) under Streptomyces heliomycini. RNAcentral's name for it is "bacterial SSU rRNA". It matches the Rfam family "Bacterial small subunit ribosomal RNA", at positions 80 to 606 of the family's 1533-position model. Lineage: Bacteria; Bacillati; Actinomycetota; Actinomycetes; Kitasatosporales; Streptomycetaceae. The record is from RNAcentral.